CGGCGCGGUGCAUGUCGGGAUUGGGAGUUCACCAGCAACGACUCGCAGGAACGUCAUGGCGAACCAGUGGGCGCUCCUGGCUGUAAUAACUGCAUUGCCCACAAGACACCGCUUUGUUGACGCGCGAGACUUACGACACCUGAAACUGAGCGAUACCUGCGGUUUCGACUGGAAUCGACGUUUGGAGAUAAGCGCGUGCAGCGAGGCCGAAACACGCGCUGCCAUGAGUCCACGAGGAGACACACCGGCAACAAGGACUCGCCCUCUGGAAUCCAAACGCGGUUGGUUCUGGUUCUGAAGGAAUGCAGCUAAGCACCGUUGAGCUGAUUAUCAACGUUCAUGCUGCAAAUAUGUUGGCAGCUCCUCCUCUUCGUCCUGGCGCGUGUGCCCCCACUCACCGUCGCCAGCUUGAAUCGGGACAGUGGACAGGCCUCGGAGGUCCAGGUGAUGCUGAGAGGUCUGUGAAGGUGAUAAUCAUAUGACAACAGAGCCGUGUGGCCACGAGACACUAGGAUAACAUAAGGCAAACCUGGAUAUGACCUGCACCCACCAGGUGGCGCUAUGAAGCCAAGGUUGGAAAUCUGCCUCAGGAAUAUGAAAUACUCUAGUUUACUCCUCAGGGAGCGCACACAAAGCGUAAAACAACAUUAAAAACAUAAUAUAGUUAAAAAUUGAGACUUAUUCUUUCCAUGUUUACUGUGUCAAUACAGCUUCAAUGACCGUUUGAAGUAUCGUCAUGUCAUCCAUCAUGACAGCGCGCUUAAAAUCCCCAAAACUAAAUGCUAAUAUCUUUAUAACUAUAAUAAAAUUAUAUAACUACAUCAUAAACAAGGGUUGUUUCUGUUCCUGCGUGUAAAUAACUGAAAUUUCUAAUAGCGCACACAAAAGCAUGGCGUGUAACUUUUGGGUUUUCAAAUCAAGUCUGCAAAUAACUCAGAUUCAAAACAUUUUGCCGUGUGUUGCUAUUUAGUAAAAGUAAACAGGUGUGUUGUUUCUACUUUCUGCGCACAAUAUACGAAAAGCUGUUAAUUUUGAAGGAAUAAAACUUAUUUAUAUCUUAUAAGAGGAACGAUAUUUGUCGCUUUUUUUGAAUUGCUUUGAAUUGUUUCACAAAAGCACAAUUUUGCGGGGGCUCACUGCGCGUUCAUGAAAACGGCCAUUUUAAAAAUAAUUUAACGAUUGAACAAUAAAAAGUAAAAAAAAUCCUAUUUUCAAACAAAUACUGAAUGAUUCCGUUAAUUUUUGUGCUAAUCAGUGUAAGAAACUUAAAAAAAAACCCCACCGACUUGAGCCGUUCAGGGCAGAUUCUGCAUUUAAUAUUUCAUGAUUACAUAUUUCAAUUUCUGGGUGAGGCCCUGACGUUGCUGCGGGCCCUUUACCUCCCUGGCUUUAGGAAACCACCAGCUGCACACGGAGAUGAUGAUACAUCACUUUUCACAAUAUCCUUGUAAAAUAUUUUUUCAAGCAAAAUAAAAUCUCAGACGUUGUGCUCUGCCAGGGAGAGCGGUGCAUCGACUCAACGGUUCAAAUAAAACGAGUCGAUCAGCUGCGUCUGAAUUCAUACUGACUUUAUUGAGUGGCUUGCAUAAAAAGCCAUUCUCGGAGAGAGAAAAAGAAAUACCAUUGUAAAAUUAAAAUCACUUUACAACAUGCUUACUUAAAUUAAAUGAAUGGGCAAACAGUAAAUGAUUUCCAAACGUUACAAAUAAAUUCAAAGUGCGCCUAAUGAUAGACCCCUAAAUACAAGAAAACUCGUGGUUAAAUAUAACUCCCACAAUACAUUUCAUAUCAUGUCAAAGAAAAAUCCAAGUACAUUUC
Long non-coding RNA from Betta splendens (Siamese fighting fish), 1818 nucleotides. RefSeq lists it as uncharacterized. Lineage: Eukaryota; Metazoa; Chordata; Actinopteri; Anabantiformes; Osphronemidae. The record is from RefSeq and is a predicted model, not a curated record. The transcript has 4 exons.